Molecule: ribosomal RNA, 253 nt
Filed under: uncultured bacterium
Lineage: Bacteria
Description: partial 16S ribosomal RNA
Rfam family: Bacterial small subunit ribosomal RNA
Source: RNAcentral
UACGUAGGUGGCAAGCGUUGUCCGGAUUUACUGGGCGUAAAGAGCGCGCAGGCGGUCGUUCAAGUCGCGUGUGAAAGCCCCCGGCUCAACUGGGGAGGGUCAUUCGAUACUGAUCGACUGGAAGGCAGGAGAGGGAAGUGGAAUUCCCGGUGUAGUGGUGAAAUGCGUAGAUAUCGGGAGGAACACCAGUGGCGAAGGCGACUUCCUGGCCUGUUCUUGACGCUGAGGCGCGAAAGCUAGGGGAGCAAACGGG